This 552-nucleotide unclassified non-coding RNA is filed under the name Hevea brasiliensis (rubber tree). Lineage: Eukaryota; Viridiplantae; Streptophyta; Magnoliopsida; Malpighiales; Euphorbiaceae. The record is from RNAcentral.
AUUGAAAGAAGUUGAUGAUUUCUAUAACUUUUGGUAUGCCUUUAAAAGCUGGAGAGAGUUCCCACACGCUGAUGAAUUUGAUCUUGAGCAAGCAGAGUCUCGGGACCAUAAGAGGUGGAUGGAGAGACAGAAUGCUAAGCUUUCAGAAAAGGCUAGAAAGGAAGAAUAUGCUAGGAUUCGUACACUAGUAGAUAAUGCGUACAAACGAGACCCCAGAAUACAAAGAAGAAAGGAAGAAGAGAAAGCUGAAAAGCAGAGGAAGAAGGAAGCAAAACUUUUGGCAAAGAAGUUACAGGAAGAGGAAGCAAUUAGGCUUGCUGAAGAAGAGAAACGUAGAAAGGAGGAGGAGGAGAAACGAGCUGCAGAACUGGCUCAACAGCAGAAAAAGGUGAAAGAGAAGGAGAAGAAACUCCUACGCAAAGAACGGACUCGCCUUAGAACACUUUCUGGCCCUGCCAUAUCUCAGUCUUUGCUUGAUCUUUCUAUGGAAGACGUGGAAAAUCUCUGUUCAUCUCUUGACAUUGAGCAGCUGAGAAAUAUUUGUGAUAAAAU